GAUGAAGAACGUAGCGAAAUGCGAUAAGUAAUGUGAAUUGCAGAAUUCAGUGAAUCAUCGAAUCUUUGAACGCACAUUGCGCCCGCCAGUAUUCUGGCGGGCAUGCCUGUUCGAGCGUCAUUACACCCCUCAGGCCCCCGGGCCUGGCGUUGGGGAUCGGCGGAAGCCCCCUGCGGGCACAACGCCGUCCCCCAAAUACAGUGGCGGUCCCGCCGCAGCUUCCAUUGCGUAGUAGCUAACACCUCGCAACUGGAGAGCGGCGCGGCCACGCCGUAAAACACCCAACUUCUGAAUGUUGACCUCGAAUCAGGUAGGAAUACCCGCUGAACUUAAGCAUAUCAAUAAGCGGAGGA
Molecule: unclassified non-coding RNA, 353 nt
Filed under: soil metagenome
Description: partial contains 5.8S ribosomal RNA, internal transcribed spacer 2, and large subunit ribosomal RNA
Rfam family: 5.8S ribosomal RNA (bases 1-120)
Source: RNAcentral